UACGGAGGGUGCAAGCGUUAUUCGGAAUUACUGGGCGUAAAGCGCACGUAGGCGGCUUUGUAAGUAAGAGGUGAAAGCCCAGAGCUCAACUCUGGAAUUGCCUUUUAGACUGCAUCGCUUGAAUCAUGGAGAGGUCAGUGGAAUUCCGAGUGUAGAGGUGAAAUUCGUAGAUAUUCGGAAGAACACCAGUGGCGAAGGCGGCUGACUGGACAUGUAUUGACGCUGAGGUGCGAAAGCGUGGGGAGCAAACAGG
This 253-nucleotide ribosomal RNA is filed under the name uncultured bacterium. RNAcentral's name for it is "partial 16S ribosomal RNA". It matches the Rfam family "Bacterial small subunit ribosomal RNA", at positions 524 to 776 of the family's 1533-position model. The record is from RNAcentral.